GCCGGUGUGGCUUAGCUGGUUAUAGCGCCAGACUCAUAUUCUGGAGGUCGAGGGCUCGAAUCCCUCCACCGGCA
RNAcentral lists this transfer RNA (74 nucleotides) under Promethearchaeota archaeon. RNAcentral describes it as "Candidatus Lokiarchaeota archaeon tRNA-Met". It matches the Rfam family "tRNA". From Rfam's summary of the family: Transfer RNA (tRNA) molecules are approximately 80 nucleotides in length. Their secondary structure includes four short double-helical elements and three loops (D, anti-codon, and T loops). The record is from RNAcentral. RNAcentral also lists the same sequence under 2 other names. Lineage: Archaea; Promethearchaeati; Promethearchaeota.